Molecule: ribosomal RNA, 254 nt
Filed under: uncultured bacterium
Lineage: Bacteria
Description: partial 16S ribosomal RNA
Rfam family: Bacterial small subunit ribosomal RNA
Source: RNAcentral
UACGUAGGGUGCGAGCGUUAAUCGGAAUUACUGGGCGUAAAGCGUGCGCAGGCGGUCUGUUAAGACCGAAUGUGAAAUCCCCGGGCUUAACCUGGGGAACUGCAUUGGUGACUGGCAGGCUUUGAGUGUGGCAGAGGGAGGUAGAAUUCCACGUGUAGCAGUGAAAUGCGUAGAGAUGUGGAGGAAUACCGAUGGCGAAGGCAGCCCCCUGGGCCAAUACUGACGCUCAUGCACGAAAGCGUGGGGAGCAACAG